GCAAGCCAGUGAUGAAACAAAGUUAUCCCUGUCUGAAAUGACCAUGUGGAGUCUUGGUAACCUGAGGCUUGU
Small nucleolar RNA from Astyanax mexicanus (Mexican tetra), 72 nucleotides. The record is from Ensembl. NCBI's taxonomy places the organism in Eukaryota, Metazoa, Chordata, Actinopteri, Characiformes, Acestrorhamphidae.